GACGAACGCUGGCGGUGUGCUUAACACAUGCAAGUCGAACGGUAAGGCCCUUUCGGGGGUACACGAGUGGCGAACGGGUGAGUAACACGUGAGUAACCUGCCCUCAUCUCUGGGAUAACAGUCGGAAACGGUUGCUAAUACUGGAUAUGAGCCUGCAAGGCAUCUUGAGGGUUGGAAAGAUUUUUUGGUUGGGGAUGGACUCGCGGCCUAUCAGCUUGUUGGUGAGGUAGUGGCUCACCAAGGCUUCGACGGGUAGCCGGCCUGAGAGGGCGACCGGCCACAUUGGGACUGAGAUACGGCCCAAACUCCUACGGGAGGCAGCAGUGGGGAAUAUUGCACAAUGGACGGAAGUCUGAUGCAGCAACGCCGCGUGCGGGAUGACGGCCUUCGGGUUGUAAACCGCUUUCAAUUGUGACGAAGCUUUUUGUGACGGUAGCAGUAGAAGAAGCACCGGCUAACUACGUG
RNAcentral lists this ribosomal RNA (465 nucleotides) under uncultured bacterium. RNAcentral describes it as "partial 16S ribosomal RNA". It matches the Rfam family "Bacterial small subunit ribosomal RNA", at positions 28 to 507 of the family's 1533-position model. The record is from RNAcentral.